RNAcentral lists this ribosomal RNA (445 nucleotides) under uncultured bacterium. RNAcentral's name for it is "partial 16S ribosomal RNA". It matches the Rfam family "Bacterial small subunit ribosomal RNA", at positions 354 to 796 of the family's 1533-position model. The record is from RNAcentral.
GUGAGGAAUAUUGCGCAAUGGAGGCAACUCUGACGCAGCCAUGCCGCGUGCAGGAAGAAGGCGCUACGCGUUGUAAACUGCUUUUAACCGGGAAGAAACCCCAGGACGUGUCCUGGGUUGACGGUACCGGAGGAAUAAGCACCGGCUAACUUCGUGCCAGCAGCCGCGGUAAUACGAAGGGUGCAAGCGUUAUCCGGAUUCAUUGGGUUUAAAGGGUGCGUAGGCGGAGCGUUAAGUCAGUGGUGAAAUCCUGCAGCUUAACUGUAGACUUGCCAUUGAUACUGGCGCUCUUGAGUGCGCUUGAAGUGGGCGGAAUGUGCCGUGUAGCGGUGAAAUGCUUAGAUAUGGCACAGAACACCAAUUGCGAAGGCAGCUCACUAAGGCGAUACUGACGCUGAGGCACGAAAGCGUGGGGAUCGAACAGGAUUAGAUACUCCGGUAGUCC